GCCUGGAUAGCUCAGCGGUAGAGCAGCUGUUUUGUAAACAGCAGGUCAGGAGUUCGAAUCUCCUUUCAGGCUCAA
This 75-nucleotide transfer RNA is filed under the name Candidatus Roizmanbacteria bacterium RIFCSPHIGHO2_02_FULL_38_11. Its description in RNAcentral is "tRNA-Thr". It matches the Rfam family "tRNA". From Rfam's summary of the family: Transfer RNA (tRNA) molecules are approximately 80 nucleotides in length. Their secondary structure includes four short double-helical elements and three loops (D, anti-codon, and T loops). The record is from RNAcentral. RNAcentral also lists the same sequence under 1 other name. Lineage: Bacteria; Candidatus Roizmaniibacteriota.